GUAGGUGAACCUGCGGAAGGAUCAUUAACACGUAUCCAACGUUAAACCCCCCGUGCACUUUCAGUCCUGCUCUGCUCCAGCAGCAAUCUCUGGUAAAUCAUUGUUGAACAGCGUUUGCGGCAUUGAGCGGUAGUUCUAUCGGCAUUGUUUCCCCAAGCAGUCAGUGUCUGACAGUGUCACUGCCUGUGUAAGGAUAGCGCUUCACGAUUUCUGUGACCGAGACACUCGGGCAGAAGCUUUGCCAAAGGGU
Molecule: unclassified non-coding RNA, 250 nt
Filed under: plant metagenome
Description: partial contains small subunit ribosomal RNA, internal transcribed spacer 1, and 5.8S ribosomal RNA
Source: RNAcentral